This is an RNA transcript of Panicum virgatum (switchgrass), 1430 nucleotides long. It is a transcript of the gene named hypersensitive-induced response protein 4-like, with no coding region annotated. The transcript has 5 exons. NCBI's taxonomy places the organism in Eukaryota, Viridiplantae, Streptophyta, Magnoliopsida, Poales, Poaceae. The record is from RefSeq and is a predicted model, not a curated record.
GAUCGAAUAUAGCCCAAGCAAACCUUGGUCCAAGCCCAUCGUUCGAGUUGGAGAGGCUCGCAAGCGGAGAACAGAGGGGACACGCAGGCGAGGGCGGUGCCGCCGGCGCGAGAUCGAGAGGGACCCCAUCCCCCGCCGACGCGACGCUGUUCGAGGGCUGAGCCGAAUUCGUCGCCGCCGGAGCCGGAGCGCAGGGAGCCCGAGAUGGUGAACGCGUUCUUCGUGUUCUGCGGGUGCGUGGACCAGGCCAGCGUGGCGGUGGUGGAGAAGUGGGGGCGCUUCGUCCGCCUCGCCGAGCCGGGCCUCCAUUUCUUCAACCCCUUCGCCGGGGAGUGCGUCGCGGGGUCCCUCACCACCCCACCCGCGUCCAGUCCCUCGACGUCCGCGUCGAGACCAAGACCAAGGAUAAUGUCUUCGUCCAGCUGAUUUGCACAAUUCAAUAUCGUGUUGUCAAGGAACAUGCUGACGAUGCAUUCUAUGAGUUGCAGAAUCCCCAACAGCAAAUUCAGGCCUACGUCUUUGAUGUUGUUCGGGCCAUAGUUCCAAGAAUGAAUCUGGAUGAUCUUUUCGAGCAAAAGAAUGAUGUGGCAAAAUCUGUACUUGAGGAGCUUGAAAAGGUAAUGGCAGAUUAUGGUUACAGCAUUGAGCACAUUCUCAUGGUUGAUAUCAUUCCUGACGCUGCUGUGCGGAAAGCAAUGAAUGAGAUAAAUGCAGCCCAAAGGCUUCAGUUGGCAAGCGUCUACAAAGGAGAAGCAGAGAAGAUUCUUUUGGUGAAGAAGGCAGAAGCAGAAGCAGAGGCGAAAUAUCUCUCCGGUGUCGGCAUUGCCAAGCAGCGGCAAGCUAUAACCGACGGCCUCAGGGAGAACAUCCUGAACUUCUCGCACUCGGUGUCCGGCACCAGCGCCAAGGAAGUCAUGGACCUGAUCAUGGUCACGCAGUACUUUGACACCAUCAAGGAGCUCGGGGAUGGCUCGAAGAACACCACGGUGUUCAUCCCCCAUGGCCCGGGCCACGUGAAAGAUAUCAGCGAGCAGAUCCGGGACGGCAUGAUGCAGGCCUCGAGCAGCAACGUGUAGACCACUCGUUCACGUUGGUACACACGGCUGGAGACGCCUCAGCUCGGGCUGAGCCUCGAGCUAAUCUGUUUAAGUGUUUGUAGUAUUAGAUCGUUAGUGGUAAAUAACGAGCGCUAGGACUUUCGGCUUGUCAUCUGGAGUUGUAUGCGGUCCUGAAACUAGUGUGGAUGAAUUUUCGUAUGAGAUAAUGUCCAGGCUGUACGCGUUUUUGCAUGUUCUUUUCUAACUACUAUACAAGUUACAUAGUGAUCUGCCCUUUUAGACAGUGUAUAGCGCUUCAGUUGAUACGUGGGUGUGGAUUUUUGCCUGUGCAGAAUACUACUAGUGAAUUGAAGCAUUUAUGGUUGGAAAAUC